AUUGAACGCUGGCGGCAGGCUUAACACAUGCAAGUCGAGCGGGGUGAUGGUGCUUGCACUAUCACUUAGCGGCGGACGGGUGAGUAAUGCUUAGGAAUCUGCCUAUUAGUGGGGGACAACAUCUCGAAAGGGAUGCUAAUACCGCACACGUCCUACGGGAGAAAGCAGGGGAUCACUUGUGACCUUGCGCUAAUAGAUGAGCCUAAGUCGGAUUAGCUAGUGGGUGGGGUAAAGGCCUACCAAGGCGACGAUCUGUAGCGGGUCUGAGAGGAUGAUGCGCCACACUGGGACUGAGACACGGGCCAGACUCCUACGGGAGGAAGCAGGGGGGAAUAUUGUACAAUGGGGGGAACCCUGAUCCAGCCAUGCCGCGUGUGUGAAGAAGGCCUUAUGGUUGUAAAGCACUUUAAGCGAGGAGGAGGCUCUUUUGGUUAAUACCCAAGAUGAGUGGACGUUACUCGCAGAAUAAGCACCGGCUAACUCUGUGCCAGCAGCCGCCGUAA
Molecule: ribosomal RNA, 503 nt
Filed under: uncultured bacterium
Lineage: Bacteria
Description: partial 16S ribosomal RNA
Rfam family: Bacterial small subunit ribosomal RNA
Source: RNAcentral